GAUGAACGCUGGCGGCGUGCCUAAUACAUGCAAGUCGAGCGAACAGACGAGGAGCUUGCUCCUCUUAUGUUAGCGGCGGACGGGUGAGUAACACGUGGAUAACCUACCUAUAAGACUGGGAUAACUUCGGGAAACCGGAGCUAAUACCGGAUAACAUGUUUAACCGCAUGGUUCAACAUUGAAAGACGGUUUUGCUUUCACUUAUAGAUGUAUCCGCGCGGCAUUAGCUAGUUGGUAAGGUAACGGCUUACCAAGGCAACGAUGCGUAGCCGACCUGAGAGGGUGAUCGGCAAAACGGGAACUGAGACACGGUCAAGAAUCUAAGGGGAGGAAGCAGAAGGGAAUCUUCGGCAAUGGGCGAAAGCCUGACGGAGCAAGGCCGCGUGAGUGAAGAAGGUCUUGGGAUCGUAAAACUCUGUUAUUAGGGAAGAACAAAUGUGUAAGUAAAUAUGCACGUAUUGACGGUAACUAAUCAGAAAGCCACGGCUAACUACGUG
Molecule: ribosomal RNA, 497 nt
Filed under: uncultured bacterium
Lineage: Bacteria
Description: partial 16S ribosomal RNA
Rfam family: Bacterial small subunit ribosomal RNA
Source: RNAcentral